Tupaia belangeri chinensis (Chinese tree shrew) is the source of this 290-nucleotide long non-coding RNA. RefSeq lists it as uncharacterized. The record is from RefSeq and is a predicted model, not a curated record. NCBI's taxonomy places the organism in Eukaryota, Metazoa, Chordata, Mammalia, Scandentia, Tupaiidae. The transcript is spliced from 3 exons.
AGCCACACCCGCCUGGGGGCUGCAGGUGUUCCAGAUCAGGGCUGAGUAGACCCUGGAAGAGGGAAGGGGAUCCGGCCUGGCAGGCUGGAGAGAGGCCAGCUGAGGUGCCCGCUCUCUGGGGGCAGGUGUCAGCAUGGGGCACCCCCAGGAGGGAGAAGCAUGACUGCCACUUGUGUCCGUCCAGAGACAUCCUGUGUGAGUCACUGUCUUGGCCCCAAUGGCCCUGCAAUGAUUCCGAACUUUGACCCCUGCCCAUCCAGCACGGGUGGAGCAGGAGGCUCUGUCAACAG